This 25-nucleotide non-coding RNA is filed under the name Rattus norvegicus (Norway rat). The record is from RNAcentral. Lineage: Eukaryota; Metazoa; Chordata; Mammalia; Rodentia; Muridae.
UGUGAGGUUUCUAUGGGGCUACAGA